GACGAACGCUGGCGGCGUGCCUAAUACAUGCAAGUAGAACGCUGAGGACUGGUGCUUGCACCGGUUCAAGGAGUUGCGAACGGGUGAGUAACACGUGAGUAACCUGCCCUUGACUUUGGGAUAACUUCAGGAAACUGGGGCUAAUACCGGAUAGGAGCUCCUGCUGCAUGGUGGGGGUUGGAAAGUUUCGGCGGUUGGGGAUGGACUCGCGGCUUAUCAGCUUGUUGGUGGGGUAGUGGCUUACCAAGGCUUUGACGGGUAGCCGGCCUGAGAGAGUGACCGGCCACAUUGGGACUGAGAUACGGCCCAG
This 310-nucleotide ribosomal RNA is filed under the name uncultured bacterium. RNAcentral's name for it is "bacterial SSU rRNA". It matches the Rfam family "Bacterial small subunit ribosomal RNA", at positions 28 to 334 of the family's 1533-position model. The record is from RNAcentral.